CGGAGAAUGUUAUCACGGGAGACACACGGCGGGUGCUAACGUCCGUCGUGAAGAGGGAAACAACCCAGACCGCCAGCUAAGGUCCCAAAGUCAUGGUUAAGUGGGAAACGAUGUGGGAAGGCCCAGACAGCCAGGAUGUUGGCUUAGAAGCAGCCAUCAUUUAAAGAAAGCGUAAUAGCUCACUGGUCGAGUCGGCCUGCGCGGAAGAUGUAACGGGGCUAAACCAUGCACCGAAGCUGCGGCAGCGACACUAKGUGUUGUUGGGUAGGGGAGCGUUCUGUAAGCCUGUGAAGGUGGCCUGUGAGGGUUGCUGGAGGUAUCAGAAGUGCGAAUGCUGACAUAAGUAACGAUAAAGCGGGUGAAAAGCCCGCUCGCCGGAAGACCAAGGGUUCCUGUCCAACGUUAAUCGGGGCAGGGUGAGUCGACCCCUAAGGCGAGGCCGAAAGGCGUAGUCGAUGGGAAACGGGUUAAUAUUCCCGUACUUGGUGUUACUGCGAAGGGGGGACGG
Molecule: ribosomal RNA, 508 nt
Filed under: Salmonella enterica
Lineage: Bacteria; Pseudomonadati; Pseudomonadota; Gammaproteobacteria; Enterobacterales; Enterobacteriaceae
Description: partial 23S ribosomal RNA
Source: RNAcentral